This 253-nucleotide ribosomal RNA is filed under the name uncultured bacterium. RNAcentral's name for it is "partial 16S ribosomal RNA". It matches the Rfam family "Bacterial small subunit ribosomal RNA", at positions 524 to 776 of the family's 1533-position model. The record is from RNAcentral.
UACGUAGGGGGCAAGCGUUGUCCGGAAUCAUUGGGCGUAAAGAGCGUGUAGGCGGCCCGGUAAGUCCGCUGUGAAAGUCCAGGGCUCAACCCUGGGAUGCCGGUGGAUACUGUCGGGCUCGAGUCCGGAAGAGGAGUGUGGAAUUCCUGGUGUAGCGGUGAAAUGCGUAGAUAUCGUAAGGAAGACCAGUGGCGAAGGCGGGUCUCUGGACAGUUCCUGACGCUGAGGCACGAAGGUCAGGGGAGCAAACGGG